GCCAUUUUCCCUGCCGCCACACAUGCACAAAUGGCCUCUGCGAGGCCUGGCAUGGUCCAGGCCCUCACAGAGGCCAUUUUCGCAUUGGGAGCCAUUAAUUUUUUUUUUUAAGAUAGUUAUACAGGCUGCAGCAGUGAUAAACGAGUCUGGAGGGGGGUAGGGGGAGCCUUCAUGGACCCCACCAUGGCCUAGAGAAAGCCUCCCAAAGGGGCUAAAGCUUUCAGAAUUUCAGGGUGAGAUGAAGCAAAAAUCUGAAACCGCCCCACAGAAGGGAAAAAUAAAACAGCUCUCUUUGAAAGGAGGUGUGCAACUCAGAUCUAUCCAUGCUUAUGCCCAACUUAUGGAACCAGCAGAGUGAAUUGCUUAGAAGAAAGACUCAUUUCAGUUCAGCUUAAUUCAGAUUCUCCAGCCGUGCACUAGAACAACUGAGCUAUGAAAUUGGGCGGCCUGUUUUGUGACAAUAAUGAGGAGAUAAUAUUCCUAGGGAACAUUUAAGUGACAUGAUUAUUGAUAGGUUAAUUACAAAUAAAAUUGUAAAGCUUUAAAAAACCAUUAAAAUAAAGAGUCUCGGAUGUAUGCCACAU
Long non-coding RNA from Hemicordylus capensis (graceful crag lizard), 584 nucleotides. RefSeq lists it as uncharacterized. NCBI's taxonomy places the organism in Eukaryota, Metazoa, Chordata, Lepidosauria, Squamata, Cordylidae. The record is from RefSeq and is a predicted model, not a curated record. The transcript has 3 exons.